AUGCAUAAGCUCGUAAAUGUUCAUUAUUUGGACAAGACGACAUUUAUGCUUGGAAAUGACGAUGAAGGGGAAGAGGCUAUGGUUUUUGACACAAGUCCAAGCUUCGAUGAUCUUGUGGUUAAAGUGAGAAGCGUGUUAAAUUGGAAUGACCCAAAUGCCGAGGUUAAGCUUAUUGGGAGGUAUGACGUUGGAUUGGGAGUAAAGUCCUGAUUAAAGAGUAUGUCCAUCACCUCCCAAUUUCAUUGGAAUGUGUACAAGGAAAAAGUAGAUGCAUCACAAGACAAGUCUCUUGAGAUCUUUGCCACAAAGGUUGAUCCUCCUACCGCCUUGCAAAUUGAUCUCAACCGCAAUGCAUCCUCCCCAAUACAUGAUGAUAGUGCCGAGGUGUAUAUCCCCAAUUGUUCUAGCCAACCACCAAGUAGCCAACCC
RNAcentral lists this ribosomal RNA (429 nucleotides) under Triticum aestivum (bread wheat). RNAcentral describes it as "partial small subunit ribosomal RNA". Lineage: Eukaryota; Viridiplantae; Streptophyta; Magnoliopsida; Poales; Poaceae. The record is from RNAcentral.